Non-coding RNA from Labrus bergylta (ballan wrasse), 1305 nucleotides. Lineage: Eukaryota; Metazoa; Chordata; Actinopteri; Labriformes; Labridae. The record is from RefSeq and is a predicted model, not a curated record.
UUAGCAAGCCUCAUUUGCAGGUGUGACUGCUUACUUUAAUGUGCUGCAGGUUGUGAUCAAUGUCUAAAAUAGCAAAUGGGUACUGGCUCAUAAAAAAAAAAAAAAAUCAAAAAAAGCUUUCGUCUGAGAGUGUCAUUUUCAAAUGCAGAUAAAACCAAAGCUGUUAAAAGAUUUCAGACCAGAUUCAGGGAUGUUUUACAAACAUGCAUCCAAAGAACUGCUGCCAAAGAAGGAAUGAAAUGCGUCCCUAUGGCCUGAGGCAGAGUAUUAGAUGUCCUAAGAAAUAUGGGGAGACUGUUAAAGAGAGGAAGUACAUGGUUGCUCCACCAUGCCAUUUGGACUUUGUGUGCGAGCAGAAUGAAGUGGACCCCCAGAAGCCCUGGAUGACCGGUAUAAAAGAAACACUGCUGUUCCUCCAGAUCUCAAACCGCCCCACAGGGACACAGUUCUCACUAAUGAAGACAGGACCUCGACUAGUCAGCCUGCAGGACCUCUGUUGAUCCACGGCUUCACAGUUCCAGAGUACCAGCAGACAUAUCAUUCUGUGGUGGAUCCCCUGCUCGUUAGUCCUGCGGAAAGCUCACAGCAUACAGUGUGGAGCUGGGCCGCAACAUUAAGGAACAUCUGUUUAAAGAGCUGGCAUACCCAACGCUUCAGAUUUCAGAACAGACCGAUGGGAAGGUGGAGGUGCUGGAGAGGUUUUGUGUGCUCCGGGCUACACCUUUCAUUAAUAUAGACAGUAAGGGGGGCCCACAGUGAUGUUCCCCAACAGACUCUCUUUCAAUGACAUGAGCCUGAUUUUUGUUUCUGUGUCUUGAUGCUUAAUUUAAUUUGUGUUGUCUUUCUUGAAAUGUAAUGUAGCUGAAGUUAUAUUUCAUUCUUUCAAACAAAAAAAAAAGAUUCCAAAGGUUUCAAUCAAUUCUCUUCAAGUAAACUAUAAAAGCAAAAUUAUGUGAGUAAUGACUUUUAAAUAAGGGUGUGUAUCUAAGGUCCUCAGUACAAUAAAAUUAUUUAAAAGACAAGCGACCACUUAAGUCAUUUAGACAAAUGUGAAUCUUUUUUAUGUAUUCUCAUCAGCCGUUUGACAAAGCAUGGGUUGUUGCAACAGGGGCAAAGCUGAGCGUUCCACACUUGUAUAAAAUAUUCAGAAGUAAAUAUUGUAGAACUCUUGAUUUACACAGUAUUGUCAUCAAUGUGAUAUUCUUGUUUCAAAGCUUCAACAUUGUCAUGACCUGAUAUCAACUUUGUUUAAAGGACAAGUCUAAAUACAAUCUCAGGUAAAUAAAAAAAAAAAACAAUGUAAAA